CUUUAACUAAAAAAGUGGUUUGCCUGGUAAGUAAUGUAGAAAUCUUGUGACAUGUAAUUUAAAAGUCUUCAGGAUGAAAUUACAGUGUAAGGCAAAUGUAUUGUCAUCAUCAUUGUCAUCAUCAUUACCAUCAUCAUCAUCGUCGUCAUCAUCUUCGUUGUUGUUGUUGUCAUCAUCAUCCUCGUUGUUAUCGUCAUCAUUUGAUAUCAACUUUCCCAUCCAUGCAUGGGUCUAAAGGAAUUUGUUGAAGCAGAUCUACUACAGCCAGAUGUCUCUCCUGUCACCAACCCUUAACUGCUUCCAAGCAAGGUAAUAUUUUCUUUUAGCCAGAUGUAUUCUUGCACAAUAUUACAAAUGAAUUACACUGCUUGUAUGACAGUGACACUCGUUUACAGCUUUCACACCAUAUCAACACAAGGAGACACCAACACACACACACACACACACAUGUACAUAUACAGCGAGCUUCUUCCAGUUUUUUUCUACCAGAUCCACUCACAAGUUUUUGGUCAGUUCAGGACUAUAAUAGAAGCUACUUUCCCAAGGUACCAUGCAGUGGGACUGGAUCCCAAGCCAUGUGGUUAGGAAGCAAACUUCUUAACCGCACCACCAUUGUAUCCCUGCUAAAAUGUUACCUCUGAAGAACUAACUCUGUAGGAAGCGGAGUACAGAGUGAAAAAAAGGGAGGGAAGCUGAUGAAAGUGCCAUGAAUUAAUAAAGUACACUGAAUUAAUACUUAAUAAAGUACCAUGUAUCAUUAAAGUACAAUGAAUUAAUAAAGUACCUUUGAUCAAUGAAGUACAAUGAAAUAAUAUAUAUCAAAGUACCAUAAAUUGACAAACUACCAUCUCUAUAUAUAUAACUGAGAAUGUGCGUAUGCAUUUCUGCCUGUAAAAUCUCUAGAACUACUCAACUGCUUUCAUUCAAAUUUUACACAUGCCUUACUUAUGGUCCAUGCAAUAUCAUAGGCCCAAAAAGUUUUCAACAUCUUGCCUAAUGUGAGCCCGGAGAAAUCUCUUAGCUCUUACACUAUUUUAGUAUUACAUGUCAAAAGUGAAACAAUAACAUCUCUAUUGUAAUGUGAGAUAAUGCUUUCAGUUUUAAUAGGUUUCACUAUUAAUAUUUUCACUUUGUAUAUAUAUAUUACUUUCAUUUCUUUUAUUUUAUUUAUUUACAUACAUGUUUAUAUAUAUGUAUAUAUAUAUGUAUAUACAUAUGUGUGUAUAUGUAUAUACGUAUGUAUAAUAUAUGUAUAUAUAUAUGUAUAUAUAUAUAUGUAUAUAUAUAUAUAUGUAUAUGUAUAUAUAUAUAUGUUAUUACCCUUUUUUGAUUAUAUUCACAUAUUACUUGAUAGAUUUGUUCGUAAAAUUUUUUCCCAGCAUGCCCUAUAUCACCGGGUAGAUUUUGCGUCUGCGCAGAGGUUUGAAAAGUUAAGAUUUACAAGUUGUUUAGAUCAACACAUGGUCUAACGCUCUGUGCAUCUCGAUUUAACAAAGGCGUCUCGCUGAUGAAACCGGCCUUGGCAAACAUAUUCUGUCUGUUUUGCUAGAAAGAGGUAGAAACUGACCAGUCCGGGAUAUAUCGUUAAUGGCAAAUGUUUUUGAUUUUCACUCUCGAUGAAUUUAUCCCUUUUUUGUGUCCCUAGCACUUGGCAUCCUUAUUUAGGAGCCCUUAAUUAUAUUCUAUAUGAAUAAUAUUUUGUCUAAUGACUAAUUCGUCUUUUGUGCUGGGCUACUGGUAGUAAUCUAUGUUAUUACCCUUUUUUGAUUAUAUUCAUAUAUAUAUAUAUAUAUAUAUAUAUAUAUAUAUAUAUAUAUAUAUAUAUAUAUAUAUAUAUAUAUAUAUAUAUAUAUAUAUAUAUAUAUAUAUAUAUAUAUAUAUCUAUAUAUAUAUAUAUAUAUAUAUAUAUAUAUAUAUAUAUAUACAUAGCUAGCCUCACUCAUUUGCAACAUAUGACCAUACCAGUGCAGUUGUCUCUCUUGCACGCCACUUCUGAUGCUUCUUAAAUCCAACUUUUCUCUCAGAGCGCUUACACUCUGUCGUGUAUGCACACUGACAUUGCACAUCCAGCAGAGCAUACUGGCUUCAUUCCUUACAAGCUCAUGCAUGUCCUCAGCAGUCACGGCCCAUGUUUCACUGAUGUGAUCUGAUAGUGACUCAGCAAUUAGAGCAAGGUCAUCAGCAUAGAGGAGCUCCCGGGGGCAUCCUGUCUUGAAUUCCUCUGUUAUUGCCUGGAGGACUAUGAUAAAUAAGAGGAGGCUGAGGAACGAACCUUGGUGGACCCCGACCUCUACCUGGAAUUCUUCACUGUACACGUUGCCAACCCUCACCUUACUGACAGCGUCCCUGUACAUGGCUUGAACAGCUCUUACCUUUCAUCUAUCCCUAGUUUCUGUAUUGACCACCAGAUAAGGGAUCGGGGGACCCCGUCAAAGGCUUUCUCUAUGUCACUGAAAGCCAGGUACAGGAGUUUAUCUUUGGCUAGGUAUUUUUCCUGCAGCUGUCUUACCAGAAAUAUAGCAUCAGUGGUACUUUUCCCUGGUACAAACCUAAACUGCAUCUCAUCUAAACUGACUCUCUCCCUAAUUAGUUGGGCUAUGACCCUCUCCGUGACCUUCAUUACCUGUAAUUAUUUGUAUCUAAAGCGUCACCUUUACCUUUGUAGCAGUUGACUAUGAUGCUGCUACACCAGUCAUUGGGUAUGACUCCUUCAUGUAUCACCUGGUUAACUGUACGGGUGACUAGACUAUAGCCAACACCGCCAGAUAUUUUACGGUGAUUCUUGAUGGUUGGGGGCUUUCCUUGUCUUCAUACUCUUAAUUGCUUUAUCUACCAAGGUACUGUCAAUUCGGAUAGCUGGUCCCUCUGUUGGGUCGACAUUCGGCAGACUCUCUUUCUCCCAUUCAUUCUCUUUAUUGAGUAACCUUUCAUAGUGACAUCUCCAAACCUCUCUAUUUGCAGCCUCCUUUAGUGCAAGUGAACCAUCAUCCAUGCGGACACAUUUCUCUCCUAUGACAUCACGAUUCUCUCUCACACACUGUCUUGCAACACAAAAUACCUCAUGUCUUUGGUCCUCACGGCACAGAACAUUGGCAAAUUUUUUUUAUCUGCUUCCCCUUUGGCUAAAUAAACCUGUCUUCUAGCUUCCCUUGUGGUGAUCUGAUAUGAUUCCCUGCUACCACCAUUCUUUCAGUCCUUCCACGUCUAUUUCUUUUCUCUAGUAGCCCUGUCAACAACAUUGUUCCACCACCAUGCUAUUUUUGGUCGAGAGGGGACUUUGCACCAUCUGGUCAGUGGCCCUCAGUAGGUUGUCGUGUAGAAACUUCCAGUUUUCUUCCACAUAUAUCUUAUAUAUAUAUAUAUAUAUAUAUAUAUAUAUAUAUAUAUAUAUAUAUAUAUAAUAAAUAAUAAACUACAAUGAAUUAAAAAGUACAAUGAAUUAAUAUAUAACAAAGAAUCAUAAAUUAAUAAUGUACAAUUAAUUAAAAUAUGACAAGUACAAGGAAUUAUUAAGGUACCAUGAAUUCAUAAAGUAGAAUGAGUUAAUAAAGUACUAUGAAUUAAUAUAUAAUCAAGUACCAUACAUUCAUAAUUUACUAUACAUUAUAUUAUUGGAGAAUUAUUUCCUCUUUCAUUAUUGUGUCAUGUUCAAGAACAAGGUACUUAACACUUAAUAGCCGUAUUUUGUAGCUUUACAUAGAGUUAAAUGUGAUAAGUGUAGGGAAGAACUUUAAAGCAAUUGUUUACCCCCACCACACACACACACUUCCAGGUCAAACAAAUCAAACUCAUCCAUGAUGGUCAUGACAUUCCGGUUGUAACCAUCUUGUUAUUUUAAUGGGGAGUGAAGAAUUACAUUAUCUAAUGCAUCCUUCUUUUUUGAAGAUGGUAGAAUGUGAUUUGAAGGAAAUUUGACUGUUACUUCUAUUCAUGUUGAAAACUUCAUUUCCAUUAGCUCUAACUGAUUAGAAUUUUGUUGGCCGAAUGUCAUCACUAACAACCCAUCCACCACCUGAAAAAUUUACCCAAAUACAGGUAAAUAGUUAAGUUACGAUUAACAUAUCUGACAGUGCAGGGAGCUUUAAAAAAAGGGAUACCUGACUACAAAUAAAUGGAUAACGUGGAAAAAAAAAUGUUUGGCAAGCACUAAUAUUUUGUAUCAGGAAAUAAAAGAAAGCAACUCUAAACAUAUUUUGAUGCUUUUCUGACUUCAUCAAUAAAGCAGAGAUUUUGCUUUUCUGGCUGAAUUAAUAACUAUAGAAUCACUGAGUGUAUAUAAAACAAUGUACAUAGAAAAACAAGUAACAUUCAGAGAAUAUUACUCAGAGACACCAUUGCAGGAAAAAUAAUAGCUAAGUUAAUGCUGACAUGUUUAAUGCAAGGAGCAGUAAAAACCUAACCAUCAAGUAAACAUCAUCAUCAUCAUCAUCAUCAUCAUCAUCUUUUAACAUCUAUGUCCCAUGCUAGGUUAGAUGAAUUGAGAGGAUUUAAUGGGUCCUAGGACUGCACCAUGCUCCAGUGUCUGCUUUGACAUGGUUUCUACAGCUGGAUUUUACAGAGUGUAUUGGUUGCCUUUUCUCAUGGCACUAGAAUUAUGGAGGUCAUUAUGCAGCUUGCAAGACAAAAAUCUCCCUCAUUGAAUGAGGCUGCAAUAGAGAGGGCUUCAUUCCUUGUCAAUUCUUUCUAAAGAGCAAGAAAUAACAGAAAAUCUGAAGAUCCCUAAGAUUACAUGAGUUCUUUCCAGUAGUUCCAACAGCUAAACUAAUGUUAAAUAUUGAUUUCAAAUUUUGGCACAAGGUCAGCAAGUUCAGGGAAGUGGGUAAGUCAAUUACAUAAACCCCGGUACUCAAUUGGUACUUAUUUUAUUGACCCCUAAAGGAUGAAAGGCAAAAUCUGGGUAGAAUUUGAACUCAGAAUGUGAAGACAGACAAAAUGCUGCUAAGCAUUUCACCUGGCAUGAUAUUUGAAUUUUUUAUUGUUAGAUAAAAUUUAUCAAACUAUUUCUCUGUUAUUUAUGACUCUCUACACUCCUUACCAUUUUCUCUUUUAUUGUGCUGUAUGUUCUACUACAUGUUUCGUAGAAUGAUACAUUAAGGAGAUUUUUUUAUAAUUACUACAGGAUUGCUUGAAUCCAUAUACUGUGACUUAAAUAGAUAUGUACAGGGUGCGUUAGAUAUUUGAAGACAGAUUUAUGUUGAUAAAACAACAGAUAUAUAAUUACAGAUAAUAACUUCAUUUAUCAAAAAUGCUAUGAGGAUAAAAAAAAAACCUUUUCUAUAAAGUUAUUCAAUAAAGCCACCUUCAGCUUCAACAACUGCUUCUGUAUGAGAUCUUAAUCAUCUACAUGCUCAAAUCAAGUAGUCCUGGUUCAUUUUGGACAUUACUCUGACUCUGGCAACUUUCAUAGAAUCUUUGGUGUUAUGGGCUUGUUCAUUGACCUCUCUCUCAACAAUGCUACAUACAUAGUAGUCCAAUGGAUUGAGAUCUGGGGAAUUAGAAGGCCAAAUGUUAGGAGUUAUGUGAUGAGGAAAAUUUUCAGCCAUCCAUUCCUGUGUUACUAGAGUCAUGUGUGAUAGUGCAGUCUUAAUGAAACACAUAUAGCCUUCAAUUGCAAGCAGUCUAUUAUUAUUUCCAGGACCUCAAUGUAGGCAGCAGAGUUAACUCUAAGGCCUUGUGGAAAGAAGUAAAGAGGCAUCAUAUGUCCUUCAUUGCUGACAACCCCUAAAACCAUGACAGCUGCAGGAAAUUUUGUAUGCAAAACACUUGGAACUUCAGAGGGGUAUACGCAUAACCAUUUGUCAUUUCUUCUGUUAACUUUUUGAUCUUGGUCGAAGUUUUUCUCAUUUGAGAAAAACCAAAUCAAAUCUUCUUCUGCUAGAUUUUUCAGUUUGUUUAAGAGCCUUUUAGAUAUGAUGUAAUGAUUUUCUUUUGUUUUAUCUGACAAAUUGACCUUUCCUCAUCAUAUAAGACUUGCGGACAACAUUUCUGACUGUUCCUUCUGACACACGGAGAUCUUUUGCAAUUGACCUCAUGGACUUUCUGGGAUUGUAAUCAAUGUUCUGUUGAACUUGCUGGAUAAAUUCAAAGCUUUUUAUGCUUUGAUAUUGGUAAUACAUUUCCAUCUUCAGUCUCUUGCUUCUUACAAACUUUGUAGAUGAAAGAUCUGGCAACUUUUAAAAAUUGAGAUAUUUCUAAAUCACUAUGCUCAGCCUUUAUAACCACAAUAACAGCAUGCCUCUUCAUUUCUUGAGUAAGCUGAGGGUCUGCCAUUAUAAUUUUCUGAAACAAAGAUUAUACAGCAUUAGCAAAAAUCAGCAAUGACCCAAAAAUGUAUGCCCUCAGAUACCUUAUGCUACUUGUAUACACAGACACACAGACACACACACACACACACAUAUCAUGAUCACCAUCAUUAAAUGUUUGUUUGUCAUAAUGGUACACACACAUGCAUAUGUAUAAUAGGCAUUUUUCAGUUUUCAUUAACCAAAGCUAUUUACAAGGCUUUGGUAGACCUAGGACUAAGGUAGAGGACACUUGUCCAAGGUGACAUGCUAUGGGACUGAAUUUGAACUAUGUAGUUGGGAAGCAAGCCAUGCCUGCACCUAUAGUCUCUCUCUCUCUCUCUCUUACACACGCACACACACAUGUACACACACAUGCACAUGCGCGCACACGCACACACACACACACACACACACACACACACAUGUAUGUGUAUAUAUAUAUAUAUAUAUAUAUAUAUGUAUAUUUAUGAACGGCAACAGGAAACUCAGAGUAACAGGUUUUGUUGAAUUUUCUCUGCUGCUUUAAAUAAAGUAUAUAUAUAUAUAUAUAUAUAUAUAUAUAUAUAUAUAUAUAUAUAUAUAUAUAUAUAUAUAUAUAUAUAUAUAUAGGGGUUACUAUAUAAAUAAAUUUUUUUAUAUAUUUAUUAAUCAUAUAAGAUUUUUAGAAUAUAUUUAAUAAUUAGUGGUUUUUAAUCAUUUAAAUCAUUUAUUUAUUUUGUAUUGAGUAUUAUUUAUCAUAGUUUUUUUUGUUAAUAAAUAUUAUAGUAUAGAGAGAUUUUAUUCUUUAUUUGUGACUUCAUUCUAUUUACAAUGAUAAACCAAUAAUUUUCCCAUUCACAAUCUCAUUGAUAAAGCAUAGGUUCUUCACGCUUAAUGAAUUCUUCAACAAUUUAUUCUUUUUUUUGCUAAUAACGUAAUUCCACGAGUAUUCUUAUAAACGCUGUAAAGACGUUUUCCGAUUCAAAAUUUUAGUUCAUUGCUAAACCUCGCUAAGAUAAGUAUGUAUUUAUUUAAGAUCUUCAAAUUGUAAAUUUUAAUAUUGUAUAAGUCUUUGGAGUACUAAUAUUUUCCUUAUGUAAAUAUCGUUGUUUAUGUAAUGAUCUAAUUAUCGUAAUUUUCUCUAUUAUUAGAUAUUAAAUUUAAGUUUAUUCGUAAGAUACUACUUAGCGAUAGAUUUGUUAUUUGAUAGCAAGCAUACGAGGUGUAUUAAGUUAGGCUUUUGUAUAUACAUGUUUUAAUAGUAUUAAUUGUAGUUUUAAAUUUAUAAUUAAAUUAGAUAAACUUUGAUAAACUUAGAUAUGUUUCGACUAAAGAUUGGUCCAGGCCAUGUCUAAUUUAAUAGCAUAACUUAGUUAUUUCUUUAAAUUGAUAUUCGCUAGUUAUUCCCAUUGAUAAUUAUAUUUAUAGUAUUUAUAGUAUUUAUUCGAUACUAUAUUACUACGAAUUGAUUAUUUCUAUAAGUAUUUUACAUAAGAUUUCCGAAAGUUCGUUUAAGUUUGUUUAUUUGUAUUUUGAAAUUAGCUAUUUCAUCUUUAAAUAUGAAAAUUUAAUUUAUUAGGUUUUUAUUAUAUGUGCAUAUAUAUUUAUUUAUAGAGAUUAUUUUAGAUUUUAAUUAUAAUAUUUAUAUACAUUUAUAUAUUUUCAUUGAUAAUUUAUAUAUAUUAGUCAUUUUUAAAUAUUUAUGUAAUUAGAUAUAGACUAAUACCGAUAUUAGAUUAUUGGUGGGUUUCCUACCUUAUAAAUUAAAAUUAAUAUUUAACAUUAUAGUCGAUUUUGAUAUAAUCAUAAUUGUUAAGUUUUAUGUUUCUAGUUUGAUAAUAGAGUUUAUUAUAAGUAAAAUUAUUAUAUUAUUUAUAUCUUAAAAAUAUUGUUUAAAUAUUUCUGAUUAUAUUUUAGAUAUUUCAAUUAACCUGAAGAUUGACUGUAACCAUAACUCGAAUUAUUACGAAUUGUACAGCCAUGAAAUGAUCGUAGUGUUUUACUCUUUAUCUUUUAUUAAACUUUUAAUAGUUUUGAUAUAUAUUUAAAAUAAUAUAAAUUAAUUAAUUUUAUGUAUUGGCUUAUGUUUUUUCAUUGUUUGAUUUGCCUAAUAGUGGUUUUAUCUCUAAUUUAAUAUAAUAUAAUAUAAUAUAUUUUACUAUAAAAUUGGAUUUAAUCCUAAAUCUGAUUUUUCCCUGUAAGUUUGGAUUUAUUCCCUAAUAUUUUAUUAUUAAUAUAUAUAUAUAUAUAUAUAUAUAUAUAUAGAGAGAGAGAGAGAGAGAGAGAUAGAUAGAUAGAUAGAUAGAUAGAUAGAUAGAUAGAUAGAUAGAUAGAUAGAUAGAUAGAUAGAUAGAUAGGUAGGUAGGCAGGUAGGUAGGUAGGUAGGUAGGCAGGCUUGCAGUUGGGGAACUAUGGUGCUACAGUUGGUAGACAUGACAUACGUCUAUAAAUCCUGUCUAUGUUGUAUAUUGGGAGGGUCAUUUUUGUCAAUAAAAACACACUGACUCUAUUUCGUUUCUGAUUAGUCAACUACUAUGCAAUUACGUUUGUUCCCAUACAUUUUAGUUAAAGACAUUGUUUUUUUGUGUGACAAUCACCUGAAAGGAGAAAUAGGUCAUUCAGAUGUUUACACAUACACACACGCACGUACAUGCGCACACAUUACAAGUGGUUCAUUUUAUACCAAAAUCAUAAGUGGUCCAUCAAGUUCCUGUUUGUCUGGGAAUUCCAAGCUAGACGGAACUUAUAGUUUAACUUAGUGUGCCGUAUGGGGGGAUCUAAUACAGAGUGGUAGAAGGGUAGCAAAUGCAUCUUUAAUUGCUCUCUCUUUUACUCUUUUACUUAUUUCAGUCAUUUGCUGUGGCCAUGCUAGAGCAUGGCCACAGUAAAUGUUACAGGGAUGUAAACACACCAGCAUCAGUUGUCAAGUGAUGUUGGGGGGACAAACACAGACACACAAACACACACACACACAUAUAUAUAUAUAUAUGCAUAUACAUAUAUACAACAGGCUUCUUUCAGUUUCUGUCUACCAAAUCCACUCAAAAGGCUUUGGAUGGCCCGAGGCUAUAGUAGAAGACACUUGCCCAAAGUGCCAUGCAGUAGGACUGAACCCAGAACCAUGUGGUUGGUAAGCAAGCUACUUACCACACAGCCACUCCUGCGCCUAACUGUACAUUAUUUACAUUUGACAGAUAUGUGUCCUCAUCUUUGUUGUUAACACAUUUCGGCUGAUAUACCCUCCAGCCUUCAUCAGGUGUCUUGGGGAAAUUUUGGAAUCUGGGUUCUCAUUCCUAAGGUAUUUUUUGAUGUAGUUAUUAUUAUUAUUAUUAUUAUUAUUAUUAUUAUUAUUAUUAUUAUUGUGAGUUCACAGCUGUAACCUGUGUCGCAUAAUCAGCCCACUUAAAAGUACCUUGGAUUGUAGGGUGACAUGCUGUGCUUGAGGAGACCUAUUGAGUCAAGUACAUCAAAACCAAAAUCAAAUGGAAAUUGUAGUUGUGAUACCCGUGCCGGUGGCACAUAAAAAGCACUGGCCGAACAUGGCCAAUGCCAGUGCUGCCUUGACAGACUUCUGUGCUGGUGGCACAUAAAAAGCACCAACCGAUUGUGGUCGUUGCCAGCUGCCUCUGGCCCUUGUGCCGGUGGAACAUAAAAAGCACCCACUACACUCUUGGAGUAGUUGGUGUUAGGAAGGGCAUCCAUCUGUAGAAACACUGCCAGAUCAGACUGGAGCCUGGUGCAGCCUUCUGGCUUCCCAGACCCCAGUUGAACCGUCCAACCCAAGCCAGCAUGUCAAACGGACGUUAAACGAUGAUGAUGAUGGUAACCCCUUUGUUUGUACCUUGUUUAUCUUCACUCCACCUCUGGGCAACAUCUUAAGACUGCCAUUACCUUAUCUUUAACACUCCUCUCUUAUCUGCUAUCAUUCUCAUCAUUCUAGCAUUUCUACCAUUGACAAAUUCCUCACAACCCUUGUCCCUCCACUCACUAUAGCUACCCCCAAUGUACAUCUGACAUCUAUCUCUAUCACUGUAUGUCUGUCUCUAUUUCCCCCAAGUCUCCCACCCAACUCAUCAUCAUUUAAUGUCUGCUUUUCAUACUGGCAUGGGUUGGACAAUUUGACAAAUCUGAAGGUUCCAAGGGCUACAUCAUACUCCCAUGUCUGCAGAAGAGAGUAGUUACCAUAUAAACCUGCUAGUUAUUGUAUACACCUCCAAGUUACCAUAUACACCUGCUAGUUACUAUAUACACCUGCUUGUUACCAUAUGCACCAGCUAAUUACUAUAUGCACCAGCUAGUUACUAUACACACCUGCUAGUUUCUAUAAACACUGACUAGUAAUGGUGUGCACUUGCUAGAUCCCAUAUACAUCUGCUAGUUAUCAUAUGCAUCUGCUACUUACUAUAUACACAUUUUAAUUACUAUAUACACAUUUGAGUUGGUAUACACACCUGCUAGUUACCAGAUGCACCUGCUAGUUAUUAUAUAUAUCUAUUAGUUACUAUAUACCCAUUUUAAAUAUCAUAUACACCUUCGAGUUACUAUAUACACCUGCCAGUUACCAUAUGCACCAGCUAGUCACUCAAUAGACCUAUUAGUUACUACAUACAUCUUGUUAAUCUGUACACCAGGUAGUUACCAUAUGCACCAUCUAGUUCCUAUAUGCAGCAGUUUGUUACUAUAUGCAACUUCUAGUUACUAUAUACAGCUGCUACAUACUAUGUACACCUAGUUACCAUAUACACCUGGUAGUUAAUAUACACCAGAUAGUACAAUAUACACCAGCUAGUUGCCAUAUACAACUUCUAGUUACUAGACAUACUUGCUGGUUAGUAUAUAUGCACCUCCUAGUCACUACAUACACCAGCUACUUACCAUAUAGACCUGCUACAUAACAUAUACACAAGCUAGUUACUAUAUACACCUACUAGCUACUAUAUACAUAAGUUUGUUAUUCUAUACACCUGCUAGAUGCCAUAUACAAAUUCUAGUUACUAUAUACACCUGCUAAUUACUAUAUGCACAUUCUAGUUAUUAUACACAUCUGCUAGUUACCAUAUACACUUGGUACUUUCUAUAUACACCUGCUAGUUAUCAUAUGCACCUCCUAGUUAAUAUAUACAACUGCUAAUUACUAUAUACAUCAGCUAGUUACCAUAUACAAUGCUACUUACUAUAUACACCUUCUAGUUACCAUAAUCACCUGCUACUUACUAUAUGCAGCUAUUAGUUACUAUAUACACCUGCUAAGUACUAUGUACACCUAGUUACUAUAUGCACCUGCUAAUUACCAUAUACACCUGGUUGCUACUAUACGCACCAGUGAGUUUCUACACACACCUGUUAGUUACUAUAUGUAUAUUCUAGUUACCAUAUGCACCUGCUAUUUACUAUUUACACCUAUUAGUUGCUAUACACACCUUUUAGUUACUAGAUACACCUGGUACUUACGAUAUAUACCAGUUACUUAACAUUCACACUAGCUAGUUACUAUAUGCACCUGCUAGUUACUAUUUGCAGCAGCUAUUUACCAUAUACACCUGUUAGUUAUUAUAUACACAUGUUAAUUACCAUAUGCACCUGCUAGUUACUAUAUAUACCAGCUAUUUACUAUAUACAUCUUCAAAUUACUAUAUACAGCAGCAAGGUACCAUAUAUUACAUGCACCUGCUAAUUGCUAUAUGCACCUGCUUGUUACUUAUAUACACCUACUGGUAACCAUAAACACCUGUGAGUUACUACAUACAACUGCUAGUUACUAUAUUCAUUUUCUAGCUACUAUUCACACUAGCCAGUUAUGAUAUACAGUCGCUAGUUACCAUAUGCACUUGCUAGUUACUAUAUACAUCUUCUAGUUACUAUAUUCAUUUUCUAGCUACUAUUCUCACUAGCCAGUUAUGAUAUACAGCUGCUACUUACCAUGUGCACUUGCUAGUUACUAUAUACAUCUUCUAGUUACCAUAUGCAUGUUCUAGUUGCUAUAUACACCAGCUAGUUACUAUUAAGUUUUUCGGAAAAUAAUGGCUGAUUUUAAAAUGAAGCUUAUAUUAUUGAAACAUUGAUACCAGUUAUAUGAAACAUUUCUCUGACUCUUUGUCAUGGGUUUUGUUUGAAUAUUGUUUUUAAAUGCUGAUCAUCAACGUCGGAUGGAUGUCCUCUAACUACUUGAUCUUCAAGGCUCUCAACCUCACUAUAGAAUCUCUCGAACCACUGUUUCACUGUCCAAUCACUAGUAGAACCUUCAUCCCAUGCUCUGUUGAUAUUGGUGGCUGUUUUGGGAAGCAUUAUGUCCAAGAUGGAAUUCAUUGAAAAAAAUAAAUGCAUUUCUUCUUUUUUCAUGAUUGAAAUUAAGGAUUUCUAUGCUUCAAAAUGAUAUUCUGAAAGAAAUCAAUAAAAAUUUAUUAAAGAGUAUACUUCAGUUAUGAUCCAUGUAAAAUUUCAUUUAAAACACAACAAAAUAAAAUCUUAAAUCAGGUAUAUAGAGUAACUAGGUGUAUAUAGUAGCUGACAAGUGUAUAUAGUAACUAGCAGUUGCAUAUGGUAACUAGAAGUUAUAUAUAGUAACUAGUAACUGCAUAUGGUAACUAGCAGGUGUAUAUGGUAACUUGCUGCUGUAUGUAGUACUUACAAGAUGUAUAUGGCAAUUAGCUAGUGCAUAUAGUAAGUAGCAGGUGCCUAUGGUAACUAGCAGGUGUAUGUAGUAACUAACAGGUGUAUAUGGUAACUAGAUGGUGUAUAGAGUAACCAGCAUCUGUAUAUAGUAACUAGAAGGUGUAUAUAGUAACUAACAGUUGUAUAUACUAACUAGCAGGUGUAUAUGGUAACUAACAAAGGUAUAUAGGAACUAGCAGGGCAAUAUGGUAACUACCAGGUGCAUAUUGCUACUAGCAGGUGUAUAUAAUAACUACCAGGUGUAUAUGUCAACUAGCUGGUGUAUAUGGUAACUAGCAGGUGCAUAUAAUAACUAGCAGGCGUAUAUGGUCACUGACUGGUGUAUAUGGUAUCUAGAGGUAUAUAUACGAGGGAUGUCUGAAAAGUUUUGAGCCUAACCUAGAAACAGGGCUGCUAGGUAGCUGAAACAAUUUUUUCUGGUAAGUACAGUCUUUUAGGAGUAUUCUUGCUCAUUUUCAUGAUUCUGAUAUUUAAAUUUUUUUUGUUGCAGAUGUUUGAAUAAACAAAUGUCAAGGUAACAAGGAAAAUGGAGAAAACUGAGUAUCAUGCUGUCAUAAAUUACCUUCAUUUGAAAGGCCUGACUCCAUCAGAAAUCCAUGAAGAUAUGGUGAGAACCUUAACAGACAAUGCUCCUUGAUAGGCAACAGUCAUAUGCUGGGUAAAUGAAUUCCAGCGUGGCAGGGAGAGUGUGGAAGAUGAUCCCUGACCAGGGAGACCUCCAAUUGCAACCACCGAGGACAACAUUAACCUUGCUCUAGGUAUGAUAAUGCAAGAAUGUCAAAUAUCAUGUCGCCAGAUAGCCAAGAGACUGGGCAUCUCAACUGAAAGAGCAGACAACAUUGUGACAAAAGAACUUGAGUUCUCAAAGGUUUCUGCAAGGUGGGUCCUUCGCCUUUUGACUCCUGUACAGAAACGCACCAGGUGCACUUUGUCCACGAGGAAUCUGAAACUGCUUGAAGCUGAUGAAGAGAAUGUUCUUGCUUGUUUCACUACUAUGGACGAAAGUUGGGUUCAUCAUUACCAGCCUGAAACCAAAGAACAAUCAAAGCAGUGGAAGCACACAUCUUCUACCCCAAAGAAGGCCAGGGUUAUUCCUUCAGCUGGCAAGUUCAUGGUGUCAGUUCUUUUGGAUUCGCAAGGUGUCUUGCUGAUUGAUUACCUUGAAAAGGGUCACACUGUGACAGGGCUGUAUUAUUCUCAGCUACUGAAAUGCCUCCAAGAAGCAAUCAAAGAAAAAAGGCCGGGAAUGCUCACCAGAGGAGUUCUUUUUCCUCAUAACAAUGCUCCAGCCCACACCUCAGUGGUUGCCAUGGCAACAAUUCGUGAUUGUGGAUACAAACUUGUUCUCCAUCCGCCUUAUUCGCCAGACUUAGCCCCCUCUGACUUUUAUCUAUUCCCCAAAAUGAAAAAAACCCUGGCUGGUCGCCAUUUUGUCAGUGACAAUGACGUCGUAGACACUGUAGGAAGCUUCUUGCAGUCUCAAACAAAAGUGUUCCUCUACGCCGGGAUAAUGGUGCUUCAGCACUGCUGGAGAAACUGUUCAGUCAUCG
This 14485-nucleotide long non-coding RNA is filed under the name Octopus vulgaris (common octopus). Lineage: Eukaryota; Metazoa; Mollusca; Cephalopoda; Octopoda; Octopodidae. The record is from RNAcentral.